AAAUCCGCUGAUUUCAAAAAUCGUGAGGGUUCAAGUCCCUCUAUCCCCA
RNAcentral lists this transfer RNA (49 nucleotides) under Doronicum cacaliifolium. RNAcentral describes it as "partial tRNA-Leu". The record is from RNAcentral. Lineage: Eukaryota; Viridiplantae; Streptophyta; Magnoliopsida; Asterales; Asteraceae.